CACCACGUUGGAGGGCAGCUUCUGCCAGUUCAGCUUCUUCAUUCUCAUUGUUGGUGUCUUCACUGCCUUGCGUGGAGGACUGAUGAAGCCAAGAGGGCAGCUGAAUUGGGGAGCCACAACAGCUUCUAUGUUAUCUCCUGCCAUACCAGGCAAUGGUGGUGGAGGGGGGAUGACUGCCAUACCAGGCAAUGGAGGUGGAGGAGGGAUGACUGCCAUACCAGGCAAUGGAGGUGGAGGAGGAGGGAUGCCAGGGAGUGGUGGGGCUGGUGGCAAAUUCACGGAGGCUGUGGGGGGCAUGGCUGCUGGUCCAGAGGGCAGGGGUGGAGGUGGUGGGGGUGGGGGUGGAGGAGGUGGGGGUGGAAGGGCAGGAGCAGCGUUGGGUGGAGGGUUAGAGGUCUGUGGUGAGGUGAAGCAGGCUGAGAGCUGUGAGGACGAGGUCUUCUCUUCACAGGCUUGUGGCCCUGAGGGAGCUUCUGGUGUCUUGCAGGGGUUUGGUGAUCCCAUCAGACUCUGAACUGCACUUGUGCAUGGUUCUCGUUCAGUCUGGAUGCCUCCAUUUGCAUUACCAGAAAGACGUUUUUCAGCUCUUUUUUGCUUGUUUGGAUGCUUCUUGAUAGACAAUAGCCUCUCAAUUACUUCUUCAACC
Molecule: long non-coding RNA, 646 nt
Filed under: Gallus gallus (chicken)
Lineage: Eukaryota; Metazoa; Chordata; Aves; Galliformes; Phasianidae
Description: long non-coding RNA NONGGAT007832
Source: RNAcentral